RNAcentral lists this ribosomal RNA (541 nucleotides) under Tricholoma sp. YM304. RNAcentral's name for it is "eukaryotic LSU rRNA". The stretch from base 182 to 335 matches the Rfam family "5.8S ribosomal RNA". Lineage: Eukaryota; Fungi; Basidiomycota; Agaricomycetes; Agaricales; Tricholomataceae. The record is from RNAcentral.
ACUUUUCUUACCACCUGUGCACUUUUUGUAGACUUGGAAUAACCCUCGAGGAAACUCGGUUUUGAGGAUUGCUGUGCGCAAGCCCAGCUUUCCUUACAUUUUCCGGUCUAUGUUUUUAAAUAUACCCCCUGUAGCAUCAUAUUUUAAUUCUUCAUGGGCUUAACUGCCUUUAAAUCUAUACAACUUUCAACAACGGAUCUCUUGGCUCUCGCAUCGAUGAAGAACGCAGCGAAAUGCGAUAAGUAAUGUGAAUUGCAGAAUUCAGUGAAUCAUCGAAUCUUUGAACGCACCUUGCGCUCCUUGGUAUUCCGAGGAGCAUGCCUGUUUGAGUGUCAUGAAAUUCUCAACCUUGUCGGCUUUUACUGGCUGAUUAGGCUUGGAUAAUGGGAGUUUGCGGGCUUCUCAUAAAAAGGAAGUCGGCUCUCCUCAAAUUCAUUAGCGGGACCUUUUUGGUUGCCCCAGCCUUUUAGUGUGAUAAUUAUCUACGCUAUGGCUGAAGUGACUAGGUGCAGCUUCUAAUUGUCUUUGAGACUAUAUAUAU